CGCGGCGCUGCCUCUAGGAUGCGCUGCGUCACUGCGGGGCUGGGGGCGCUUGUCACGCAGGCAGCCGGCAAAUCAGAGAAGCUGAACUCUGGAGGCCUCCAGUUCUCAUGUGAGAAUGAGGAAUUUGGAUCGGUUGGGUGUUUCCUAAGCCAUGAGCCCUACACAUAGGAUUCUAUGGGCUUUCAGUGAUCCGUGGUUUGCAAGGUUGUCAUCCAUUCUACGAACAGAGUAUCAACAGCGUGUGAACAUGGCAGCACUGAAAUGUGACAUUCAAUCAGAGAAACACUGAGGCCAAGUCCAAGAAAUCCCCCAGCCCUUCCAACAGGUGUUAUAAAAACGUGGCAUCAUCGCAAUGAGGGACAGUUACUUCUUGAGAAGACCUUGAACCUCAUAUUUGGCAAAAUGUUUCUAGGGCCACCAAAUGGAGGACAGAGGACAGAGACAAGUCUGGGUCCUGAAGGAGUCAGUGACCUCAUAGGGAUGGGACACUCCUCCACUUCACAGGUCCACGGUGUUCCUCAACAACACUGACAUGUCCAUGCCUCACAUAUCUAAGAUUCAUUUUCCUUUUCAGCCAUUACAAGUCUUACUGACACCUCAACUAAUGGAUGCUGAUUUUCAAAACAGAUUAGAACAUCGACACUCCUAGAAGUUAAAAUAUUUUCUUCUGGCGCUCCAUUGGAUCAUCCGCAUACUCCACAGGUCCAGGUCUGAAGGACCAGGAAGUCCAGUUCUGUGAACUUUCAAAAUCCCAUGAAAAAGCACACAGAACUCAGUCUCAUCCUGCCGCUGCCCUCUGAAUCGCUGUCUGGGUUUCAUCAGCCUCAGAAAAUUGGAUGGGGGACCAUCAUCGCCUGUUGCCAGUGAGACCAGUGUCCCACCAGACUCCUCACAGAUGACGUUUCCAUGAACUUCCUUAAGUCACCAUCAAGUAGUGUUGGGUGCCUGGGGACACCCAAGUGGAAAUGUCCAGCAGACAUUUGAAUCAUAACCAAAGAAGAUGAAAACCACAGAGGAGUGGUGCAGGUGGAGAGACUGAUUUUUGAAUCAUCGUGGUAACUGAAGUCAUGGAAGUGGACAACAUCAGCCAAGGACGGUGUCAGGAUCAAGUACAAGAAAAACCACACGUAACUUCUGCUUUGAAGCCCAAGGAUGACGUCAGUGAAGUUAGAAGUCCCAUUACACUGGUGUCUCUGCUGCACUCAUGUAAACCUUCUGGUCUGUUUCACACAAACUCUAGCGAGACCAUCUGGCUGCAAGUGGCAGAUACUCAACUCAAACUAGUUUAGGGAAAAACAAAAGGAGCAUGGGCUCAAAGAACCAGGAGAUCCAAGUUAGACUUCAGACAUAACUGCAUCCAGGGUGCUCCAAGGCUUAUUUCUGAUUUGCAACCUUCUCUAAGGAAGCUCCUUCUACAAGGUAGACAAGAUGAGCCCCAGCCAACCCAGCUCACAGCCUCAAAGCUUAGCACUAUCAGUGGAAAGAAUACUGCUUUUUCCAAGUGUACGUACAUUAAUCCUAGAGAAGACAUCGAUUGGCCCUGCCUAGGACUUAUGACCAACCAUAAUUCAAUUGCAGUGGCCAGGAUAAUGGAAACCCGGAUCGGCAGCUCUCAGAAAACUUAAAAUUCUUGAGAUCCACUCUAGACCUGAAUCAGAAUAUCUAAGGAAGAAUCCCAGGUGUUAAUACUUUUUACAAGCUGCUAGAGUGACUCUUAUUGAAGGGGUUCACAGAUCGUGUUUUGAGAAACACUGCAAGCUCCCCAACUGGCUGGGACAGGAUGUUGCCUGAGAAGACCUCAGGUCUGCACCCUGUCAGUCUCGGUGAAGCUGGAAAACGUUCAGGCUUUUGAGUGGACUUGGGCUCAAAUCUGGUGUGG
Equus caballus (horse) is the source of this 1879-nucleotide long non-coding RNA. NCBI's taxonomy places the organism in Eukaryota, Metazoa, Chordata, Mammalia, Perissodactyla, Equidae. The record is from Ensembl.